GGGUUGUACCCCAAUUGCGAAGAUGGCAACACAAAGCUCGGUACCGUACUGGAAUUGCUGCAGUGGAAGGCAGAGAAUGCUGUGCCUGACAAAGGAUUUGGGAAGCUAUUGAAAAUAUUGAAGAAGAAGCUUCCAAAGGAUAACAAAUUGCCCGACAGUACAUACGCAGCAAAGAAGGUCGUAUGCCCUCUAGGAUUGGAGGUGCAGAAGAUAAAUGCAUGCCCUAAUGACUGCAUCCUCUACCGCGGUGCGUACAAGGAUCUGAACGCAUGCCAGGUCUGCGGUGCAUUGCGGUAUAAGAUCAGACGAGAUGACCUUGGUGAUGUUGACGGCGAGCCCCCCAGGAAGAGGGUUCCUGCGAAGGUGAUGUGGUAUGAUCCUAUAAUACCAUGGUUGAAACGUCUGUUCAGAAACGAAGAGCAU
Molecule: ribosomal RNA, 423 nt
Filed under: Triticum aestivum (bread wheat)
Lineage: Eukaryota; Viridiplantae; Streptophyta; Magnoliopsida; Poales; Poaceae
Description: partial small subunit ribosomal RNA
Source: RNAcentral